RNAcentral lists this ribosomal RNA (495 nucleotides) under uncultured bacterium. RNAcentral describes it as "partial 16S ribosomal RNA". It matches the Rfam family "Bacterial small subunit ribosomal RNA", at positions 28 to 507 of the family's 1533-position model. The record is from RNAcentral.
GACGAACGCUGGCGGCGUGCCUAAUACAUGCAAGUAGAACGCUGAAGGAGGAGCUUGCUUCUCUGGAUGAGUUGCGAACGGGUGAGUAACGCGUAGGUAACCUGCCUGGUAGCGGGGGAUAACUAUUGGAAACGAUAGCUAAUACCGCAUAAGAGUAGAUGUUGCAUGACAUUUGCUUAAAAGGUGCAAUUGCAUCCCUACCAGAUGGACCUGCGUUGUAUUAGCUAGUUGGUGAGGUAACGGCUCACCAAGGCGACGAUACAUAGCCGACCUGAGAGGGUGAUCGGCCACACUGGGACUGAGACACGGCCCAGACGCCUACGGGAGGCAGCAGUAGGGAAGCUUCGGCAAUGGACGGAAGUCUGAACGAGCAACGCCGCGUGAGGGAAGAAGGUUUUCGGAUCGUAAAGCUCUGUUGUAAGAGAAGAACGAGUGUGAGAGUGGAAAGUUCACACUGUGACGGUAUCUUACCAGAAAGGGACGGCUAACUACGUG